UGGCGCGAUUGGAUGAGCCCACGUCGGAUUAACUAGUUGGCGGGUAAAGCCCACCAAGGCGACGAUCCGUAGCUGGUCUGAGAGGAUGAUCAGCCACACUGGAACUGAGACACGGUCCAGACUCCUACGGGAGGCAGCAGUAGGGAAUAUUGGACAAUGGGCGCAAGCCUGAUCCAGCCAUGCCGCGUGAGUGAAGAAGGCCCUCGGGUUGUAAAGCUCUUUUGUCCGGAAAGAAAAGCGCCGGGUUAAUACCCUGGUGUCCUGACGGUACCGGAAGAAUAAGCACCGGCUAACUUCGUG
This 300-nucleotide ribosomal RNA is filed under the name uncultured bacterium. RNAcentral's name for it is "bacterial SSU rRNA". It matches the Rfam family "Bacterial small subunit ribosomal RNA", at positions 213 to 507 of the family's 1533-position model. The record is from RNAcentral.